AGCAGCAGCAAGAACCCUGUAAUAACAACACUUUUUAGUUCCUUUCAUCAAAAUGUAUAAUAAGAAAAUGGCAAGAGGAGAGCUAGCUGGUAUGCUAAUUUAUUCACAGUAUGAUUACAAUAUAAAAAAAUGAAAUCCUGUUCAAGUCACCGAUCCAGUGCAUAGAUUAGGAACUCAACAAGGUUUUAACUUUUAUAUAGAAUUGCAUGCAUAUUCACUUAAAAAAACAAGCAGGCACCUCCACUGGAGACCUAACAGCAAGAACACGCUUCAUAGAAGUUAGUUUGUUCAAGGCAAAGCAUUCUUCAGUUGGAACAACCUGCUGGCAUCACAAGACUUCUACUAAUGUUGCAUAUUAUUUUACCAUUUCUUUUUUUGUUACUUAAGAAUGUUUCUUACCUCUAUGACAGGUACAACAAUAACCACACUGACAAUAUGAAUUCUAAUAUCCACUGGACUCUUGGUAACCAUUCAGUUGAGCUGAUUAAUCAUGUAUGUCAGAAAAAUGUAUUAAAAUUUUAAAUUAAAAUAGUACAUUGUAAUAAAACAAAUUAUAAGAAUUCAUUAUGGCAUUGCAAAAUAAAAUGUAAACAAUACUUUUAAGUACAGUUCACUAGAACUUCACCAGUUUGCAAAUACAUGCUGGUGUCCUAUGAGUUACUUGUUAUUAGAAGUAAAACAUCAAAUUUGAAAUUAAGUUUUACAAAUCAGGCAUUCAUUCACCUUGGUAUAUCAUUUCCUACAAACAAUGAUUAACCACAAUGAAACGAACCUGCUCUGCA
Molecule: unclassified non-coding RNA, 782 nt
Filed under: Hevea brasiliensis (rubber tree)
Lineage: Eukaryota; Viridiplantae; Streptophyta; Magnoliopsida; Malpighiales; Euphorbiaceae
Source: RNAcentral